UCCCUGGUGGCUUAGAGGGUUAAGUGUCUGCCUACAAUGCAGGGGACCUGGGUUCAAUCCCUGGGUAGGGAA
Transfer RNA from Ovis aries (sheep), 72 nucleotides. It matches the Rfam family "tRNA". Rfam says of the family: Transfer RNA (tRNA) molecules are approximately 80 nucleotides in length. NCBI's taxonomy places the organism in Eukaryota, Metazoa, Chordata, Mammalia, Artiodactyla, Bovidae. The record is from Rfam.